RNAcentral lists this long non-coding RNA (1127 nucleotides) under Capsicum annuum. RNAcentral describes it as "long non-coding RNA (CANN_LNC016891)". Lineage: Eukaryota; Viridiplantae; Streptophyta; Magnoliopsida; Solanales; Solanaceae. The record is from RNAcentral.
GUGAAUAGAGGGAAAAAGGAAAAAAAAACAAGAAAACAAAAAUGGAAGGGGGCCCACUGAAAAUUUCUUCUUUAUGAUCUUUUUAUUCUAUAUUCAGAAAACACAUACAAGGGGGAUCAUUCUUGGUCAUCAUCUUCGUCUUUUCUUCUUAAAAAGGGACGACACAAUUGGCUUGAAUUUUUUUUUUCUUUCACUGACCCUCAAGCCUAUCACACUCUCCAUCACCAUAUUCACAUAGCACACAAUUCAUCAUCUUUCACGGGAAAUUUCCAUAUAUACACACACAGAGAAAUAUCUAAGGGGGAAGGAAUACACAGCUCAUCGGCUUUCCUUUUUCUUCAUCAUAAUUACACAAUUUCCACACAGAAAGAGCAUAAAGAGAGAGAUAUCCAUUUUUUCCCUGACCCUCAUUGGAAUAUGCACACACACGGAUGGGGUAGACAAAGCUUAAAUCGAGAGGGAUAGGGAGAGAGAGGAGAGAAAAUAAGCAUCUCCUACCAGUACUGUUUCAGUGAUUAUUCUCUUUGCUGAAAAAGAUGAAAUCUCAUCGGAGACGCCAUCUCUACCGGUAAACUGACACCAAAAAGCCACCCGUUCUUCCGACUCUCCAAAAAAGGGUCAAAAACCACACCACAUCGACUCAAAGACCUGACCCGUGCUUCUCCGUCGCCAUCACUAUCGAGUUCUCCAGAGAAGCUUACCGGAGCUCCGAUAAGUAACGAAACCCGUGGUCAAAACAGUCCAUAAAUUUUAGUUUAAUCGUCGGUCUUUUGGAUUUUGCAUUGAAUUACCGACUUGGGUUCGGAUUGAGUUCGUUGGUUCGAAGCUUGUGGAUUUGGUUUCGAUCGUUGCUGAUAUUCUAUGUAUUGUUGGAUUUUUAUUGAAAGAAAUGUGGUGGUUUAAAGCCUGAUUUGAGGUCCAACUCUAUUUCCUUCUCAUUUUAAUUUCAUUAUAUAUGCGUGAUUGAUUUGUGUGAAGCAUGAUAUGAAUAUUUGGUGAUAUCGUUUGUUUGUUUGGUUUCAUUGGCAAUGAUUGAGGAUUGUUAAAAUGGUGAUUGUGAAUUGUUGAUUUGGGGUCGAGAUCGAAAAUUGAUGAAAUGAAUAUGGAUUAGUCUUGAUUUAUUAUCG